GAUGAACGCUAGCUACAGGCUUAACACAUGCAAGUCGAGGGGCAGCAUGGUCUUAGCUUGCUAAGGCCGAUGGCGACCGGCGCACGGGUGAGUAACACGUAUCCAACCUGCCGUCUACUCUUGGACAGCCUUCUGAAAGGAAGAUUAAUACAAGAUGGCAUCAUGAGUCCGCAUGUUCACAUGAUUAAAGGUAUUCCGGUAGACGAUGGGGAUGCGUUCCAUUAGAUAGUAGGCGGGGUAACGGCCCACCUAGUCUUCGAUGGAGAGGGGUUCUGAGAGGAAGGUCCCCCAGAUUGGAACUGAGGCACAGUCCAAACUCCUACGGGAGGCAGCAGUGAGGAAUAUUGGUCAAUGGGCGCAGGCCUGAACCAGCCAAGUAGGGGGAAGGAUGACUGCCCUAUGGGUUGUAAACUUCUUGUAUAAAGGAAUAAAGUCGGGUAUGUAUACCCGUUUGCAUGUACUUUAUGAAUAAGGAUCGGCUAACUCCGUG
This 490-nucleotide ribosomal RNA is filed under the name uncultured bacterium. RNAcentral's name for it is "partial 16S ribosomal RNA". It matches the Rfam family "Bacterial small subunit ribosomal RNA", at positions 28 to 507 of the family's 1533-position model. The record is from RNAcentral.